Molecule: transfer RNA, 70 nt
Filed under: Camelus dromedarius (Arabian camel)
Lineage: Eukaryota; Metazoa; Chordata; Mammalia; Artiodactyla; Camelidae
Also listed under: 1 other name
Rfam family: tRNA
About the family: Transfer RNA (tRNA) molecules are approximately 80 nucleotides in length.
Source: Rfam by way of RNAcentral
GAGGUUAUAGCUCAUGGUAGAGCGCACACCUAGCAUGCAUGAAGUCCUGGGUUCAAUCCCCAGUACCUCU